This 439-nucleotide ribosomal RNA is filed under the name uncultured bacterium. RNAcentral's name for it is "partial 16S ribosomal RNA". It matches the Rfam family "Bacterial small subunit ribosomal RNA", at positions 339 to 795 of the family's 1533-position model. The record is from RNAcentral.
CUACGGGUGGCUGCAGUGAGGAAUAUUGGGCAAUGGAGGCAACUCUGACCCAGCCAUGCCGCGUGAGUGAAGAAGGUUUUCGGAUUGUAAAGCUCUUUCGGGUGUGACGAUGAUGACGGUAGCACCUAAAGAAGCCCCGGCUAACUUCGUGCCAGCAGCCGCGGUAAUACGAAGGGGGCAAGCGUUGUUCGGAAUUACUGGGCGUAAAGGGAGUGUAGGCGGUUAUGUAAGAUAGUGGUGAAAUCCCAGAGCUUAACUUUGGAAUUGCCAUUAUGACUAUGUGGCUAGAAUUACAGAGAGGAUAGUGGAAUACCCAGUGUAGAGGUGAAAUUCGUAGAUAUUGGGUAGAACACCAGUGGCGAAGGCGACUAUCUGGCUGUAUAUUGACGCUGAGGCUCGAAAGCAUGGGGAUCAAACAGGAUUAGAUACCCUGGUAGUC